AUACGUAGGGGGCGAGCGUUGUCCGGAAUGAUAGGGCGUAAAGGGCGCGUAGGCGGCCCGGUAAGUCUGGAGUGAAAGUCCUGUUUUUAAGAUGGGAAUUGCUUUGGAUACUGUCGGGCUUGAGUGCAGGCGAGGUAAGUGGAAUUCCCAGUGUAGCGGUGAAAUGCGUAGAGAUUGGGAGGAACACCAGUGGCGAAGGCGACUUACUGGACUGUAACUGACGCUGAGGCGCGAAAGUGUGGGGAGCAAACAGGAUUAGAUACCCUGGUAGUCCACACUGUAAACGAUGAAUGCUAGGUGUAGGGGGUAUCGACCCCUUCUGUGCCGCAGUCAACACAAUAAGCAUUCCGCCUGGGGAGUACGGCCGCAAGGUUGAAACUCAAAUGAAUUGGCGGGG
RNAcentral lists this ribosomal RNA (397 nucleotides) under uncultured bacterium. RNAcentral's name for it is "partial 16S ribosomal RNA". It matches the Rfam family "Bacterial small subunit ribosomal RNA", at positions 523 to 918 of the family's 1533-position model. The record is from RNAcentral.